This is a long non-coding RNA of Dicentrarchus labrax (European seabass), 613 nucleotides long. RefSeq lists it as uncharacterized. The transcript is spliced from 3 exons. The record is from RefSeq and is a predicted model, not a curated record. NCBI's taxonomy places the organism in Eukaryota, Metazoa, Chordata, Actinopteri, Moronidae.
GAAAGUUUUUAUUAAAUAAAACAAUCUCAUGAAUCUGCCAUAAAAAGUUUUUCUGAGCAAGUCUGUGAUCAAUCGUCUGACCUUUGAUUCAUGAACUGUCUCCUCCGGCCCUCACACUGUUGUUGCUUCUGGGGAGUGAUAGGAAGCAGCCUCACUGGAAACAAACUGGCAUCAUGGGAUGCCCGCGGCCCUGGACAGGAGGACUCUUCUAAGAAUAUCAUUGGUACUCAUCUACAGAGCAUAUCAGUGAGGUCAGGUGCCUGAGCAGAGCCCAGAAUAUACUAAAAGACAGCACCCACCCCAGCCACAGCCUGUGCACGCUGCUGUCAUCUGGAAAGAGAUACAAAAGUAUCCGCUUCUGUACCUCUGUACUGUACAGUUUCUUUCCUCAGACUGUGAGACUCAUCUCCACCUCAUCCUUUGCUCUCCACAAUAAAGAAUUAUAUAGAACUUUCUGUCAUGCUUACAUACAAAAUGAGUAAGUACUUAUAAGAUGAGGAUGAAAUAAUUAGGGACUACAGGAACCACUCAGUAUGAUGCACCACUUCAGUUUAGGGGCCACAAAAACAGUAAAUAAUGUUUAAGUUAUUAGUACUGAUGGAGUCUUUAUUAG